GUGGGGGUGGGAAAUAAUAGAAAGGAUAGAUGGGAGAUGCUGACACUUGAGCUUUAUCCCUAAAAUUGUUAAGCUCUAUCUAUCUGCUGGGGGAGAGUCAAGGAAAUUAUAUGUCUGUUAAUUAUUUGGGAUUGCUUGGCCGCUUUUCUGUGAGAUUGACUAUGGUAUACUUUCAGAUUUGUUGGCUGAAGUGGAUGCGGAGAACUGUAAUUCAGAGUUUUGAUUCUUGUGGCUGGCCAGUUCCAGAAAGUUGUUCUUGAAAACAGCUGUCCUAAUGCAUGAAUCAGGCAAGAUCUUUUGCGCAAAUGUACGGAAGUGAUAAUGAGCUGGAUGAGGACCAAAAAACUGAAGCUCCAGGCUCCCAUUAGGAUGGUGCAUCAGAUACAGAGGAGAGGAAGACACCAGAGAGCAUGGCCUAACUAGCAGUUUCUUCAGCACAUUGGAAACGGUAAUUGUCCUGUGUUCUACAACUCCUGUCCAAGACCGGUGCUGGGAAUAUCUUUCAUAUACAUUGCAGUUGUGUGGAAGGACACAAAACUUCAUGGAUUCAGCCACAUGCUGCUCUUUGAAUUGCAUCUUCCUGCCAGAGGACCCCUUUCCCAAUCCAGGAAGCACCACAUCAUAGUAUGAGGAGGUGGCCUUCACUGCAGAGAAAAGCCCAGCCCCCACUGCUGGUGUUAUAUGAACAAAGUACAACAAUUAUACAAAGCAAUAGACAACAGCAGCCAUAUUUCCAGAUUUAAACUGCUGCCAUGGGAAAGGGAGGAUUGAUCCUCAUUCCCUAGGCUGCACUCUAACCUCAGAUCAGUGCCAAUUCCAGAUCUGGGGAAUGCUGGGCAGACAAUGUCCAGGAGCCCUUCUGCACACCAGCAAGCUCAUGAGUCCCUUUCUACUCACCUACUUGCAUAUCCCCCCACUUUCAUUUAGACUGAUCCUGUCUUCAGCAGGUGGUUGGGCUAGAAGGCCUAUAUGGCCCCUUCCAAUUCUAUGAUUCUGUGACGUAACUGUGCAUCCUUCCCAUGCUCAUACGGCCUCCCACCACCUGACCUCACAGCAGCCUGCAUCACAUUCAUGCCUUUUCCCUGACAGCACUAGCUGUGUGCGUGAAGCUGGUAGUUCUGUUGCUAUGGCUCCACGAAUGCUCCGGCUGUAUUCUAUCCACAAGCACUUCUCCUUCAGUAUUGGAAAGUUGGGUGUAUUGGUGGCAGACUGCUUGCAAGCAAAUGGUCAGGGGCACACAGACAGAUGGCAGGAGAGGUACAUAGGUAGGGUGCCAGUGAAAGCAAGCCCCAACAGAAGCUCUGGACCAUGGCAGCUGCCCCACCACAGUUGCAGGUACUGUCUCUAAUGAUCCUUGGGAGUUUCUGUUUGCACUGGGGUAAAACAUACAAGGUAUUUGUAAGGUCAUAGGCACUGGGGAGGUAUUUGAGUCUGGGAAAACAACAGAGUGUAGAAAUUAACUCUACCUCACCACUACCCAAAUCUAACUCUGCCCCCCCACCCCACCCCGCCCGCUAUUCAGCAAUAAAAAUGUUAGGA
Sphaerodactylus townsendi is the source of this 1539-nucleotide long non-coding RNA. RefSeq lists it as uncharacterized. Lineage: Eukaryota; Metazoa; Chordata; Lepidosauria; Squamata; Sphaerodactylidae. The record is from RefSeq and is a predicted model, not a curated record. The transcript is spliced from 3 exons.